RNAcentral lists this ribosomal RNA (387 nucleotides) under Triticum aestivum (bread wheat). Its description in RNAcentral is "partial small subunit ribosomal RNA". The record is from RNAcentral. Lineage: Eukaryota; Viridiplantae; Streptophyta; Magnoliopsida; Poales; Poaceae.
CACAGAGGGCGUGGCCGAGGAAGGCGCCCCCCUUCUCCCUCUACAGGCAACGGUGGUAGAAGCUAUCAAGGCCGUCCACAACAACAGCAACAGCAACGUCAACAACCACCUCGAGAUUAUCCUGAAUGUCAGAUAUGUUACAAGUUUCAUGCAGGAGGUGCCCGUGCUUGUUGGGAUCGCUAUGAGGAAGAUGACUAUGAAGAGAAGGAGGUAAAUGUUCUCACCAACGGCUAUGGCAUCGACACCAACUGGUACGCGGACACCGGAGCAACAAACCAUAUCACGGGAGAGCUGGACAAGCUAACCAUCAGGGACAAAUACCAUGGACAGGACCAAGUUCACACCGUAAGCGGUUCUGGACUUGGACACGAGGAGAAUACUUCUUAG